Molecule: ribosomal RNA, 942 nt
Filed under: uncultured Xiphinematobacteriaceae bacterium
Lineage: Bacteria; Pseudomonadati; Verrucomicrobiota; Spartobacteria
Description: bacterial SSU rRNA
Rfam family: Bacterial small subunit ribosomal RNA
Source: RNAcentral
UGCAAGUCGAACGGGAUUAUUUUUGUAGCAAUACAGAAAUAAUUCAGUGGCGAACGGGUGCGUAACACGUGGGCAAUCUGCCGAAAAGUGGGGGAUAGCUCGCCGAAAGGCGAAUUAAUACCGCAUGUGGUGAGGGACGACAUCUUCCUGAAUCCAAAGCCGGGGCAACCUGGCGCUUUUUGAGGAGCCCGCGGCCUAUCAGCUAGUUGGCGGGGUAACGGCCCACCAAGGCUAUGACGGGUAGCUGGUCUGAGAGGACGACCAGUCACACUGGAACUGAGACACGGUCCAGACACCUACGGGUGGCAGCAGUCGAGAAUUUUUCUCAAUGGGGGAAACCCUGAAGGAGCGACGCCGCGUGGAGGAUGAAGGCUUUCGGGUUGUAAACUCCUGUCAUUUGAGAACAAGUUGUACGUGUUUACUGCACGUGCAUUGACAGUAUCAGAAGAGGAAGGGACGGCUAACUCUGUGCCAGCAGCCGCGGUAAUACAGAGGUCCCAAGCGUUGUUCGGAUUCAUUGGGCGUAAAGGGUGCGUAGGUGGCGCCGUAAGUCGGGUGUGAAAUUUCGGAGCUUAACUCCGAAACUGCAUUCGAUACUGCGGUGCUUGAGGACUGGAGAGGAGACUGGAAUUCAUGGUGUAGCAGUGAAAUGCGUAGAGAUCAUGAGGAAGACCAGUGGCGAAGGCGGGUCUCUGGACAGUUCCUGACACUGAGGCACGAAGGCCAGGGGAGCAAACGGGAUUAGAUACCCCGGUAGUCCUGGCAGUAAACGGUGCACGUUUGGUGUGGGGGGAUUCGACCCCUUCCGCGCCGGAGCUAACGCGUUAAACGUGCCGCCUGGGGAGUACGGCGCAAGAUUAAACUCAAGAAAUUGACGGGGGCCCGCACAAGCGGUGGAGUAUGUGGCUUAUUCGAUGCACGCGAAGAACCUUACAGGCCUUG